GAUUACCUAUAAGGAAGAGAAAUUAAAUUUAAAUUAGUUGAAUUUGUGAUUAUUUAUGUUUUAUGUGCUCUUUUUAUGAUAUGAUAUCAACGGAUAUUUUACUUAAGGGGUUACAUUGGUUUUGUCGCAUAAAAAAUGACCUAUUUUCAAUAUUUUUUUUUCAUGUAAAAAAUUAUUUAUUUAAUUCAAGAUUUUUUUUGUCUUAUAGAUACAUAUUUAAAGAAUAAUUUCUGAAAUUUUCAAAAAAAAAUUAAAACUCCAUUGCGACGUCAUUUCCGAUGACCCCUUGGAAAAAAGAUGCUUCCGCGUUGUCAGCAUAACUCCUGAUAGGAUCAUCCAAAAUGAAGAAACAAAAAUAAGUGUUUUAGCUACUCAUUCAGCCGGAAUCAUGGCAACAGUUGGGCAUUCGAACAGUCUUGGUACCUCCGAAGACAGCACAUAACACCGUUAUUUUACAAUAUUGUUGCAAAAAAAAAAUCUUAAAAUAUAGCUUUGAGAGAAACAACAAACUUGACGAGAAUUGCAUGUAAAGCAUCAAAUACAGCAAAACCGGUAGAUAUCAACAACGAAUUAUUACAACAAUUUGCCAACAGCUAACAGAUAUCGCAGACAUUAAGUCGCUUUUGCCUUUUUCGUAAUGCCGUGAUAAGGUGGGUAUUAUUGAGUAACAACACAACAACAAACAAUCAACACCAAAUUGAUGAUGCCAAUACAUAAUAAAUAUAUAGAGAACCGCAAUAAAAUGUGGUAUUUAAAAAUAGAUAUGUGGCAAAAAUGGCACUUCUAUUGAAAACCAGCGAACGUAUAGAAAAACAAGUAAGGAAGCGCUAAAUGCGAGUGUAACCGAACUUUUUAUACUUUCGCAAUGUUUAGGGUUCGUUCGUUCGUUUUUAGAUGGACUUUUGAAUAGACUAGAAUCAAUCAAACUCUUACAGGAUUUCAACAAUUUAUGGCACCAAAACAACUAUAUCUCAAACAAGCUUUUUUUCAUAAAAGUGAAAAUGGCAUAAAUUCGCGAUGUUAUUGCUAGUUUUUAUGAAAUUUACUUCAGAUUGGAUAUGCCGGCGUCAUAGGUGUGAAAAUUCCCUUUCGUAUGACACCAAGAUCAUUAAAAACGGUUCAGAUUUACUCGAGUUAUGACCAUUCAAAAAGUUGUACUGCUCCACACUGAUCCGCUGCUCUGCCACUGCUCUUCCUGGUAGCGCAGCGCAGUUUUAUUGUGGUUUUUGCAAAGUUCCCAAAUGUCGAUUUAUACUAGGAUACCAGAAAUGUGCAGAUAUGUAUGUAUGCCAACAGAAAAUUGUUGCGUCAAAGGAAGUACUGUGCGUAGCGGAAAUGAUCAAAGAGGAAGUGAAACAACCGGAGCAGGAAAUACACAUGUCACCAACUUAAAUAGGAUGUAGAUCACAAGAAACGGAAGUCGGACAUAAGCGGAAGUUGGGUCACCGAUAUAUAUAUAUAUAUAUAUAUGUGGGUGAACGGAAGUACUGUGUACAACGGAAGUGACCAAAAAGGAAGCGAAACAAUCAGAACAGGAAAUUCAAAUGUCACCAACUCUGAUCGGAUCUCGAUCACCGGAAACGGAUGUUAGGUAACCGGAAAUAAAAUCUGUAAACGGAAAUAAAUUCUAAAGAAAAUGUCUAAGAUGCGGAAGUUGACAGUUUAACUGUCCAUGACAAACUUCCGUUUGGUUCAUAUCCGGUUUCCGGUAAGAGACUUCCGCUUUCUUUACUCAAUAACCUGUUAAAAUUGAUGGCAUGAGGAUUUCUGGUUCCGGUUGUUUUACUUCAUCUUUGAUCAUUUCCGUUGCACACAGUACUUUCUUUGACGCGCAUGUCAUAACUUGGGUAAAUCUGAACCGAUUUUGGUGUCAUACGGAAGGGAAUUUUCACACUUAUGAUACUAGCAUAUCAAACCUCAACCUCAUAAGACUUGCAAUAACACCGUUAUUUUUCGAAUUCUCACUUUGAAGAACAAGAGAGACGUGAAAGUUGAAAGACGCGUUUCUUUUUAAUUUCGUGUUUGUCAAAGUACCCAAUAGAACGUGUUCCAAGAGUUUAAAUAAUAAUAAAUUACAAAAUAAUAGAACCGGUUGAGAAGUGAUAAAGUGGCAGAGCUUUAAACGAAUUGAUAUUUAAAUGAAUGAAUGCAUGUAUAUUUGUGUGUGUAAAUUAUUGGCCAUUCAAUUACAGAAUAGUGAUGGAUUUGCAUUCUAUUUUAUCUCCAUUGUCUAAUAUGAGAAUUAUGAGAAGUCUAAAAUAAAUAGGUGCCUAAAGUACCUAAAGUAUAUACGUACGUAUAUGUCCAACGCGUGUUCGAAAGUAGUCAGCUAUUCAACCAAAAAAGGCAGAAGGAAGUGAAACCCACAUGCGAACAUUUAUUUUCCCAUUCAGAGCUUUAACUCACUGCGCGCUGUCAAUUGGUGUUCAUUUACUUUUUGAGCCAACAUCUGAGAGACUGUGGGCGGCUAAUUUACAGCAGCCAAAAGCGAUUGGGCUGGCAGCCAAUCAAAUGGCAAACCAUAUGGCAACUGCGGGCACUUAGAAAUAUAUAGUAUAUGUGUGAACAAGAAUAUGAAUAAAAAUCGGAGAAUAAAUCUCCGCUUGCAGCAGUGGCAAUGACAAUGGCAAUGGCAGUGCUAUAAAAGUUACUACAAAAUCAAUUUCUGUGCGCGUAAAAUACAGUUAAAUUUGCAUUUAUUUCUGCUUUCCGCAUGUGGCGUAUCAACGGUAGUGGUGCACGAACUGCUUUUGUAAAUAUGUAUAUACGAGUAGUUUGUGGUAUAAGUUUGGUUUAAGCUUUAAAAUAAGAUUAUAUUUAAGGAAACUUCGCUAGAUAUAAAAGAUUCUUAUAUCUCUGCUAGAUGCUUCUACUAUUCUAAUAUUUGUAAUAUACUUUAUAUCUUGAAGUCAUCUGUCAAUUAAGAAAAAUAAUGCUGAGGGCGACCUCUACUGGAAACUACUUUAUUUAAAGCUAUUAGAAAAAGGUGUAGGUCACUGGCUCAGCUUAGUAUCUGGUAUCUGUAAUUCAUACCAAACAUUACUGUCAAAUAUUUUUUGAUGUUCUCCAGUCGACUCGUCAACUUUGAGAUCAUGAAACAAUAACACUACCAAGAAUAUGUAUGCCAUAGGAAAAAAUUCUUAAAAGAAACUUACGGAACAGUUCCUUCCACCACAUGUACCAAAAUUCUACACUUUACAGACCACAAACUGACGACUUUUGUUCUAGAUUUAGAUCCGAAAUUCUAUGAAAUACUUUCAUGAAUGUAGAGCAUUGAUCGGCAGUGUUGUUAAGGGUUAUAAGCGUAGCUCAAGAUAGAUUAUAUAUGAACUUUUUGCUGACUCCGCGGGCAUUUUUAUUUUACAAAGGCUUAGUCUAACUUAUUUAGUGUUGUCAAGAUGUCGGUUUUCAAAAACUCAGAAAUUUAUCUCAUGCGAGACUGAACUCAAACUGAUCUGCCCCCAGAUGUGAGGUUCUUUCAUUUUAUACGGGUUUUAUAAACACUUCGAUUCAAUUCGAUUGUCUUUCUUAAGGUCACAAAAGGUUACACAAUACAAGAAAUACAAUAUAAAAAGGUAACCCUGACCCAAGCUACUUCUUAUAUCGUAAAUACUAGUGAAAUAUAUGAAACAUUAUUCGAUUCAAUUCCAACUCAACCCACCCUAUUUGGCUUUAUAAUAAUAUAUACAACCAUAUACAUCCAUGUAUCUAUGGUAUAUAGAAUGACUGGUGGUUUGCCACUUUUUCGCUUUUAAUUACUUAUUGCUCAACCUUAGAAAUACACAAAUUAAUGAAACCACACACACACACCUCAUACCGUUAAACACACGAACCAGCUUAUAUGUAUAUAAAUUUUUAACGAACUUGACAUUUUCCAUUCAAAGGCAUCUAAACAAAAGUAUACGAAUGAAUGGAAAAGUGUAGGUGGCAAGAAGAAGAAGCAAACUAAAAGCAACCGUGCAAAAUACGAGUAGAAUCUCGGUAUACAAAGAGGCAAAACGACGGUGUUGAAAGGUAAUUGUUUGGAAAAUUUUAUGUCCGUAUUUAGUUGGUCUUGUGUGUGUAUCUAUGUAUGUAUGCACCGUGCGGAUGAUGUAAUUGAAUAUUUCUUUUUUGUAAAAGCAGAAAAAUUAAGAAAGCGCAAAAUUGUUGAUGAGCGUGCAUGAGAGCACUGAUGAAGGUGAUUAUGGUGGCAAAAUUGUUUAUUUUACUUAUUUUAUGGUAGAUCAGUUUAUGAGUUAUUGAGAUGAAAUAGGUAUGUAUGAAAGCUGAAUCAAUUGAAAAAACUAGCAGAUUAUUGAUUUUCAAGUUAUUUUUAUUGUUUUUGAAAUUAUUUUUUGUAUUUUAAUUGCAAGAAAUAAGAUUUUACUGGUUAGUUUAAGAUGGCGUGAGAACGCUUAAAGUGAAUAAAGUGUUGGAAAAGUUUGAUUUUGUUCCAGAUUCGAGAUUAAAAUAUAUGAAAUACAAAGCAAAUAUAAAUUGUUAACAAGCCAAAAGUCUCAAUAUCUUCAAAAAAUAGAAAAAACAAGUAAGGAAGGGCUAAGUUCGGGUGUAACCGAACAUUUUAUACUCUCGCAAUUUAUUUAUUUAACUUUAUUUAUAUUAUAUAAUACACAGUUUGACCCGCAUAUUCGUCAUAUAUAUUGUAUAAAGUCCAUUGAAAGUUGGAAACCAUAAUAUUAGGUUAGAAGCACCGAGGUCCUCGUGUUCGAUAUAUGGGGCCUUAAAAACCUAUGGUCCGAUUUCGGCGUUUUUUAGAAUGGGGCUGCCACACUAUUAACAUGGUAUUUGUGCAA
Molecule: long non-coding RNA, 4796 nt
Organism: Zeugodacus cucurbitae (melon fly)
Lineage: Eukaryota; Metazoa; Arthropoda; Insecta; Diptera; Tephritidae
Exons: 3
Source: RefSeq, a predicted model, not a curated record